This 76-nucleotide transfer RNA is filed under the name Candidatus Yanofskybacteria bacterium RIFCSPHIGHO2_02_FULL_43_17. RNAcentral's name for it is "tRNA-Ala". It matches the Rfam family "tRNA". From Rfam's summary of the family: Transfer RNA (tRNA) molecules are approximately 80 nucleotides in length. Their secondary structure includes four short double-helical elements and three loops (D, anti-codon, and T loops). The record is from RNAcentral. Lineage: Bacteria; Candidatus Yanofskyibacteriota.
GGGCCCAUAGCUCAGCUGGUAGAGCGCCUCAUUUGCAAUGAGGAGGUCAUCGGUUCGAAUCCGAUUGGGUCCACAA